RNAcentral lists this ribosomal RNA (361 nucleotides) under uncultured bacterium. RNAcentral's name for it is "partial 16S ribosomal RNA". It matches the Rfam family "Bacterial small subunit ribosomal RNA", at positions 338 to 697 of the family's 1533-position model. The record is from RNAcentral.
CCUACGGGUGGCAGCAGUGAGGAAUAUUGGUCAAUGGGCGCAGGCCUGAACCAGCCAAGUCGCGUGAGGGAAGACUGCCCUAUGGGUUGUAAACCUCUUUUAUAAGGGAAGAAUAAUGACUACGUGUAGCUAGAUGCCCGUACCUUAUGAAUAAGCAUCGGCUAACUCCGUGCCAGCAGCCGCGGUAAUACGGAGGAUGCGAGCGUUAUCCGGAUUUAUUGGGUUUAAAGGGUGCGUAGGCGGUGUGUUAAGUUAGUGGUAAAACGUCGGGGCUUAACCUUGGUGGGCCAUUGAAACUGGAGUACUUGAGUACAGAAGAGGUAUGCGGAAUGAGUAAAGUAGCGGUGAAAUGCUUAGAUAU